GACAGAGGUGCCGAGCGUUAGGCGGAAUCACUGGGCUUAAAGCGUGUGUAGGCGGGCGGGCAAGUACCUUGUGAAAUCCCACGGCUCAACCGUGGAACGGCUGGGUAUACUGCCUGUCUUGAGCCAACUAGGGGCGAGCGGAACAGACGGUGGAGCGGUGAAAUGCGUAGAGAUCCGGAAGAACACCAAAGGCGAAGGCACCAUCCUGGGGAGUCACUGACGCUCGGGUGCGAAAGCUAGGGGAGCGAACGGG
RNAcentral lists this ribosomal RNA (253 nucleotides) under uncultured bacterium. Its description in RNAcentral is "partial 16S ribosomal RNA". It matches the Rfam family "Bacterial small subunit ribosomal RNA", at positions 524 to 776 of the family's 1533-position model. The record is from RNAcentral.